GUGGGGAAUUUUGGACAAUGGGCGCAAGCCUGAUCCAGCAAUGCCGCGUGCAGGAAGAAGGCCUUCGGGUUGUAAACUGCUUUUGUACGGAACGAAACGGUCCUGGCUAAUAUCCGGGGCUAAUGACGGUACCGUAAGAAUAAGCACCGGCUAACUACGUGCCAGCAGCCGCGGUAGUACGUAGGGUGCGAGCGUUAAUCGGAAUUACUGGGCGUAAAGCGUGCGCAGGCGGUUUUGUAAGACAGGCGUGAAAUCCCCGGGCUCAACCGGGGAAUUGCGCUUGUGACUGGAAGGCUGGAGUGCGGCAGAGGGGGAUGGAAUUCCGCGUGUAGCAGUGAAAUGCGUAGAUAUGCGGAGGAACACCGAUGGCGAAGGCAAUCCCCUGGGCCUGCACUGACGCUCAUGCACGAAAGCGUGGGGAGCAAACAGGAUUAGAAACCCGGGUAGUCC
This 450-nucleotide ribosomal RNA is filed under the name uncultured bacterium. RNAcentral describes it as "partial 16S ribosomal RNA". It matches the Rfam family "Bacterial small subunit ribosomal RNA", at positions 354 to 796 of the family's 1533-position model. The record is from RNAcentral.